GCCCGCGGGGAAGGAGGAGCAGGCCGCGGGCUGGCGAUCUCGCCCGGGAGAGGGGAUGGCAGAGAUCGCAUGGUGGCGAUCUCGAGCGGAAGGGAAGCCGAACGAGAUCGCACAGUGGCGAUCUCGAACGGGAAUCGGGAAGAGGUAGAUCGCACGGUGGCGAUCUCCAUGAGAAAAGGAAGACUUGCGGCGGAAACCGCAAGCUAAGGAGGGGAGAAGAGUGAGUGACUUGGCCGCGAACGAGGGAGAGACGAGCGGUUUGAGCCGCGACCGAAGGAGGAAGGUGUCGCAUGCGCGCUGUCGCUGCUGCGUGCGAGUGUGGGAACGGAUUUGCGGGAAACCGCAAAACCGUGCGAUCGCGCGGUGGCGAUUUGGCCCGUGAGAGGGGCUGGCCGAGAUCGCACGGUGGCGAUCUCGACCGGAAGGGAAGCCGAACGAGAUCGCACGGUGGCGAUCUCCAUGAGAAAUGAAAUACUUGCGGCGGAAACCGUAGGAGAGGAGAAGAGUGAGCGGCUUGGCCGCGAACGAGGGAGACACGAGCGGCUUGAGCCGCGACCGAAGAAUGAAGAAGGUGUCGCACGCGCGCUGUCGCCGCAAAACCGGUGGUGUGCGUGCGAAAUCCGAGCGCGGGGUGAUGCUGAACGGCUUCGGCCGUGGAUGCAUGUACGACUUGGGAAGGUUAGGAUGCGGUUCCAACCGCAUUAGCGUGUGGUGGCGAGGCCGAGUGCCUGCGAUGCGCGAUUCGUGCUAGCGCCGCGACGGGUGGGUCAGUGUUGGUCGGGCAAGCGGAGAACCGAACCAGACCGGUGGCGGGGCGGAGUGAACGCCGCUAACCAAGCCUCCUCGCCGCCGCUUGCGGUAACAAUUUUUCUCUCCUGCUUUUCCGCUUGAACCGACCGGUCCUAACCGGUUUUGUUUGUAGUCUUGAACCGAACCGGUUCACCUUCAUACAGCGAAUCAGAUGGGUGUUUCGGGAAACCCAAACCUCCCACCCGCGGUGGGCACAUAAAUUUUUCUCUCUCUCUCUCUUUUGUUCAAUUUUCUGUCCCUUAACAAGAAUUUUUUUUUGGGUUCUUAUCAACAAUUGUUGAAUGGUUGAUUUUGUGCUUAUGGGGAAAACAGAAGGAUUCACCAAAAUAAAAAAUAGGGUGAUGAAUUUUUUGAUGAAAAAGAAAGAAACAGGUAAUCAAGGAAGCAAAGGCAGACCGAGUUGACCUCCUCUGGUGGUUUUUGGAUGGCGUUUGAUGGAUGAUCGUCCAUGAAAACAGAAUGAUUCAAAGAAAUAAAAAAUACGGGGAUGAAUUUUUUGCUGAAAGAAAGGAACAGGUAAUCGAUGAAGCAAAGGCAGACCCCCUCUUGCUUUUGGAUUUUGUCUUCGGUUGAUUUUUUCCUACUGUUUACUUUAACUGGCUGUUUCCAUGGGAUGACAAGACAGAGAAGAACAUAAUCUUUUGACGGUGGCAUAAUAUCUCUCUUUUUGUGCUGAUGAAUUGACCCCCCCCUUUGUUGGUUUUUGGAUGGCGUUUGAUAGAUAAUCAUCCACGGUGGCAUAAUAUCUCUCUUUCUGUGCUGAUGAAUUGACCUCCCCGUUUGUUGGUUUUUGGAUGGUGUUUGAUAGAUAUCCACGGUGGCAGAAUAUCUCUCUUUCAGUGCUGAUGAAUUGACCCCCCUCUGAUGGUUUUUGGAUGGCGUUUGAUAGACGAUCAUCCACGGUGGCAGAAUAUCUCUCUUUCAGUGUUGAUGAAUUAACCCUCCUCUGAUGGUUUUUGGAUGGUGUUUAAUAGAUGAUCAUCCACGUUGAUUGAGCAGACUGGAGUAAUUGAGGGCCCUUGAUUAUUUUACAGAGAUGUCCCUGCUGUUAUUACAACUUCUGUGGUCAAAUGGUGGGGUCAAAAAGACGCAUAUUAGCUUGUCAUAAAAGCGCCUCAGCUCGUUAAAAAGACUUUCAGAAACUUCUACUUCUCUCUAAGUCUCUCCACUUUCGCUUUUUUCGGGAUGUAAGAUUCGGCGAGUUCCCGAUCAUCAUGUUGCUCGUGGAGGUAUUCGCCAACCCUGCACGUGAUGAACGCUUGAUCUUUUGAGCUAUUUAGAUCUCAGGCAUGAUUUUGGGGAUAAUGGAAGUGCCACCUGGUUUCUUCAGGAUCUUGCCACUUAGCAAGGUGCUGAAGGAUGCAGGGUUCUUUCUUCUUCCUGGAAAAAGAUGAGGUUCUUUGGGAAGUAUAUGUUUUCAUUUAGUGAAUGAAAAAUCUUCAGGGCUUUUGUUGGCUGAGAGUUUUCUUGUUAUGGUUUUUUGAGAUGCCUCUUGAUGGUAGUAAAGAUUUUGUUCUUUCUUCUUCCUGGAAAAAGAUGAGGUUCUUUGGGAAGUAUAUGUUUUCAUUUUGUGUCAUUGUUCCUACCGUGUGUAUAUGACCUUUAAGCGACAACUUGAACGGUGGACAACUAGAUUGGGUAAGGGUCUUGAUCACUCGACCUCUUCUGUUUCCCCUGAUCUCACAUGCAUGUUGUUAUAAUGAAAAUGACUUGUCUACUUUUCUACAAUUUGUCUAUUUUGCCCUUGUACAUGAUCUAUUCUGGUAUAAAUUUAAACUCUCCUAUUUUCUGAUUAAGUCUAUAUUUUGUACACAUUUGGAAGAAUAAAAAAAAAACAGACCUAAAUACAUAUGAUUGAUCUAUGAGAGAAUUACUGUAUAUUUUUACUGUGUUUAGAUUAUUCAUUUUUUUCUUUGAAUUUUUAUCUAUUUUGCCCUUGUGCAUGAUCUAUUCUGGUAUAAAUUUAAACUCUCCUAUUUUCUGAUUAA
This is a non-coding RNA of Carica papaya (papaya), 2798 nucleotides long. The record is from RefSeq and is a predicted model, not a curated record. NCBI's taxonomy places the organism in Eukaryota, Viridiplantae, Streptophyta, Magnoliopsida, Brassicales, Caricaceae.